GAUGAACGCUGGCGGCGUGCCUAAUACAUGCAAGUCGAGCGAACAGACGAGGAGCUUGCUCCUCUGACGUUAGCGGCGGACGGGUGAGUAACACGUGGAUAACCUACCUAUAAGACUGGGAUAACUUCGGGAAACCGGGGCUAAUACCGGAUAAUAUAUUGAACCGCAUGGUUCAAUAGUGAAAGACGGUUUUGCUGUCACUUAUAGAUGGAUCCGCGCCGCAUUAGCUAGUUGGUAAGGUAACGGCUUACCAAGGCAACGAUGCGUAGCCGACCUGAGAGGGUGAUCGGCCACACUGGAACUGAGACACGGUCCAGACUCCUACGGGAGGCAGCAGUAGGGAAUCUUCCGCAAUGGGCGAAAGCCUGACGGAGCAACGCCGCGUGAGUGAUGAAGGUCUUCGGAUCGUAAAACUCUGUUAUUAGGGAAGAACAAAUGUGUAAGUAACUAUGCACGUCUUGACGGUACCUAAUCAGAAAGCCACGGCUAACUACGUG
This 497-nucleotide ribosomal RNA is filed under the name uncultured bacterium. RNAcentral's name for it is "partial 16S ribosomal RNA". It matches the Rfam family "Bacterial small subunit ribosomal RNA", at positions 28 to 507 of the family's 1533-position model. The record is from RNAcentral.